This 301-nucleotide ribosomal RNA is filed under the name uncultured bacterium. RNAcentral's name for it is "partial 16S ribosomal RNA". It matches the Rfam family "Bacterial small subunit ribosomal RNA", at positions 509 to 809 of the family's 1533-position model. The record is from RNAcentral.
CAGUCGCCGCGGGAAUACGAAGGGGGCUAGCGUUGCUCGGAAUGACUGGGCGUAAAGGGCGCGUAGGCGGCCAUUCAAGUUAGAUGUGAAAGCCCUGGGCUCAACCUAGGAAUUGCAUUUGAUACUGUUUGGCUUGAGUUCGGGAGAGGUGAGUGGAAUUCCCAGUGUAGAGGUGAAAUUCGUAGGUAUUGGGAAGAACACCAGUGGCGAAGGCGGCUCACUGGACCGACACUGACGCUGAGGCGCGAAAGCGUGGGGAGCAAACAGGAUUAGAUACCCCUGUAGUCCCUGUCUCUUAUAA